Molecule: ribosomal RNA, 524 nt
Filed under: uncultured Diversisporaceae
Lineage: Eukaryota; Fungi; Glomeromycota; Glomeromycetes; Diversisporales
Description: SSU rRNA
Rfam family: Eukaryotic small subunit ribosomal RNA
Source: RNAcentral
AGCAGCCGCGGUAAUUCCAGCUCCAAUAGCGUAUAUUAAAGUUGUUGCAGUUAAAAAGCUCGUAGUUGAACUUCGGGGUUUACCCAUUGGUCAGGCUUAAUUGUCUGUACUGGUGAGAUAAAUCUCUUCCUUCUGAGGAACUUUUAUGCCAUUAAUUUGGUGUAAUGGGAAAUCAGGACUGUUACUUUGAAAAAAUUAGAGUGUUUAAAGCAGGCUAACGUCUGAAUACAUUAGCAUGGAAUAAUGAAAUAGGACGGAUUGAUUCUAUUUCGUUGGUUUCUAGGGUCACCGUAAUGAUUAAUAGGGAUAGUUGGGGGCAUUAGUAUUCAAUUGUCAGAGGUGAAAUUCUUGGAUUUAUUGAAGACUAACUACUGCGAAAGCAUUUGCCAAGGAUGUUUUCAUUAAUCAAGAACGAAAGUUAGGGGAUCGAAGACGAUCAGAUACCGUCGUAGUCUUAACCAUAAACUAUGCCGACUAGGGAUCGGACGAAGUUAAUUUUAUAAUGACGCGUUCGGCACCUUACG